GAUGAACGCUAGCUACAGGCUUAACACAUGCAAGUCGAGGGGAAACGACAUCGAAAGCUUGCUUUUGAUGGGCGUCGACCGGCGCACGGGUGAGUAACGCGUAUCCAACCUGCCCACCACUUGGGGAUAACCUUGCGAAAGUAAGACUAAUACCCAAUGAUAUCUCUAGAAGACAUCUGAAAGAGAUUAAAGAUUUAUCGGUGAUGGAUGGGGAUGCGUCUGAUUAGCUUGUUGGCGGGGUAACGGCCCGCCAAGGCAACGAUCAGUAGGGGUUCUGAGAGGAAGGUCCCCCACAUUGGAACUGAGACACGGUCCAAACUCCUACGGGAGGCAGCAGUGAGGAAUAUUGGUCAAUGGACGAGAGUCUGAACCAGCCAAGUAGCGUGCAGGAAGACGGCCCUAUGGGUUGUAAACUGCUUUUAUAAGGGAAUAAAGUGAGUCUCGUGAGACUUUUUGCAUGUACCUGAUGAAUAAGGACCGGCUAAUUCCGUG
RNAcentral lists this ribosomal RNA (492 nucleotides) under uncultured bacterium. RNAcentral describes it as "partial 16S ribosomal RNA". It matches the Rfam family "Bacterial small subunit ribosomal RNA", at positions 28 to 507 of the family's 1533-position model. The record is from RNAcentral.